AUGAGGGACCGGUGGACGCUGUGCGUGAACACAUCCGCGGGCGUAGGGGGCCAGAUUUGGCAAGUUGUAGAUGCUCUGAACUACAGACUCUCAUCCCCGUCUUCCUCUUCCUUCUGCUCCUCUGCUUCUCUCUUCUCUUCCCCAAUUCCCCCUCAAACCCUAGCGACCGAUCCGCGAGUUCCCUCCGGCGGCGGCGCCGCCGCUCCGAUCGCCCGCCUCUCCGUCAGCCCCAGCCCGCCGUUCGCGCCGCGGCAGCGGUCCAUGGAUUUCCGCUUCAGCGCCGGCGACCGCGGGCCGCCUUUGCCGCCGCCGUUGGAGUGGCAGGCGGUGCCGCGAGAGCUCAUCAUUCGCGAGGAGGUGACGCGGCGGCUCACCGAGGAGUGGGCCAAGGGCGACCCCGCCUUCGCCCGCGGCCUCAACGAGGGGUUCGGGCCCGGCCCGUUCUUCGCCCCCGAUCGCUUCAUGCCGCCGCCGCCGCCGCACGCGCCGAUGCCGUUGCCGGUGCCGAUGCGCCCGCUCCCGCACGCGCCGCCGCCGGUGCCUUUCGAGGAGUUCGGGGCCUGGCAGGGGUUCGGGCGUCCCCUGCACGCGGGGUUUGGGGAAAGGACGCGGUUUCUCUUCGGGGCGAAGUGGGGGUCUACGCCGCCGCCAGACCCGAAGCACAAGCUCAAGCUGCUUGAGGUCGAGCCCUCCGGGAGACCCGAGGCUCUUUCACCAAAGGUUCCAAUGAUGAAGAGCAAAGCAGAUGCAAAUGUUGCAACUACUGUACCAAAGAAAGUACAGAAACUAGCCGAGGACUGGAGCUGUGCACUAUGCCAGGUUAGUGCACCGUCUGAAGCUGGUCUAAAUGAGCAUCUUGGAGGAACAGAGCAUAAGGCGAAGUUGGCACAAUGUAGCGUCAGCAAGGCGACCAAAGAUGACAAAAACUGCUUGCAGACGACCACUGGGAAUGAGAGCAACACAGAUCCUUGUGAUGCACCUAAGAAAAUAUGCAUGCUAGUAGACAGUGCAACAUGUGAAGCUGGUCUAAAUGAGGAUCUUGGAGGAAGAAAACAUAAGGCGAAGUUGGCACAAUGUGGCGUCAGCAAGGCGAUCAAAGAUGACAAAAACUGCUUGCAGACGACCACUGGGAAUGAGAACAACACAGAUCCUUGUGAUGCACCUAAGAAAAUAUGCAUGCUAGUAGAUGGUGAAAUGCAUGAAGUUGUUCGGAAGAACAACUAUCUGUGGUGUGAUCUCUGCAGAGUCAGGUGCGAUAGUAACAGCAUCAUGGCUGGCCAUCUGCGUAGCAAGAAGCACAGUAAAUUAAACAAGGUUUCGACGUCGAUAAAGGCUGUGAGGACAAAUACCGAUACUAAGGAAGGUUUGACUUCUUUUGGAAGUCAGGUAAAUACAAACGGCUCUACUGAAAUUCCAGCGGUAAUUGAAGGCGACAUAAAUAUGACCACCAAAGUAGAUGAAAGUGGCCCUGUAGAAAAUCCAGUCCAGAAAGAAAUCCAUCCGUUGAGCAAGAAGCACAGUAAAUUAAACGAUGGUUGGACAUCGAUAAAGGCUGUGAGGACAAAUACCGAUACUAAGAAAGAAAUCCAUCCGGGGAGCAAGAAGCACAGUAAAUUAAACGAUGGUUGGACAUCGAUAAAGGCUGUGAGGACAAAUACCGAUACUAAGAAAGAAAUCCAUCCGGGGAGCAAGAAGCACAGUAAAUUAAACAAGGUUUCAACAUCGAUAAAGGUUGUGAGGUCUAAUACCGAUACUAAGGAAGGUUUACCUUCUUGUGGAAGUCAGGCUCUUUCAUCAAAUCCAAAGGUUCCAAUGGUGAAGAGGAAAGCAGAUGCACAUGUUGCAACUACUGUGCCAAAGAAAGUACAGAAACCAACCAAGGACUGGAGCUGUGCACUAUGCCAGGUUAGUCGACCAUGUGAAGCUGCUCUAAAUGCGCAUCUUGGAGGAACAAAGCAUAAGGCAAAGUUGGCACAGUGUGGCGUUAGCAAGACGAUCAAAGAUGGCAAAAACUGCUCACAGAUGACCACUGGGAUUGAGAGCAGCACAGAUCCUUGUGAUGCACCUAAGAAAAUAUGCAUGCUAGUAGACGGUGCAAUGCAUGAAGUUGUUCGGAAGGACAACUACCUGUGGUGUGAUCACUGCAGAGUCAGUUGUGGUAACUACGCCACCAUGGCUUGCCAUCUGCGGUGCAAGAAGCAGAGUAAAUUAACCAAGGUUUGUUCAUCGAUAAAGGUUGUGAGGACAAAUACCAAUACUAAGGAAGGUCUUUUAGGUGUGGCUCAGAACAUGGGCUUCCUUGGUAUCUUACGUAUUAUUUUAGAGAUGAUCUUUGAAAAUUCUGCCCCGAGUAUUCAUGGAAUUUCUUAUCUCAGGUGUUGCUGGGAGAAACGCAACAAAUCAUGGGAGAUCAGAAAACUCAGUGAACACCAUGGCAAGCUUGCAGCCAAGAAGCAAUCCAUGUCCUGUGGUCCUGCUGUUUAUUUCUGUUAG
This 2493-nucleotide ribosomal RNA is filed under the name Triticum aestivum (bread wheat). RNAcentral's name for it is "partial small subunit ribosomal RNA". Lineage: Eukaryota; Viridiplantae; Streptophyta; Magnoliopsida; Poales; Poaceae. The record is from RNAcentral.